GUGAAAUCUCCCGGCUCAACUGGGAGGGUGCGCCGAAAACUGGAGGGCUAGAGUACUGGAUGGGAGAGUGGAAUUCCUGGUGUAGCGGUGAAAUGCGUAUGAUAUCAGGAGGAACACCUGUGGUGUAGACGGCUUCUCUGGACAGUAACUGACGCUGAGACACGAAAGCGUGGGUAGCAAACAGGAUUAGAUACCCUGGUAGUCCACGCCCUAAACGAUGCAUAUUUGGUGUGGGUCAUUCAUUUGAUCCGUGCCGGAGCUAACGCGUUAAAUAUGCCGCCUGGGGAGUACGGUCGCAAGGCUGAAACUCAAAGGAAUUGAUCGGGGGCCCGCACAAGCGGUGGAGCAUGUGGUUCAAUUCGACGCAACGCGAAGAACCUUACCUGGGCUCGAACGGCUCACGAACGUCCUUGGAAACAGGGAUUUCCCGCAAGGGACGGGAGUCGAGGUGCUGCA
Molecule: ribosomal RNA, 456 nt
Filed under: uncultured Acidobacteriaceae bacterium
Lineage: Bacteria; Pseudomonadati; Acidobacteriota; Terriglobia; Terriglobales; Acidobacteriaceae
Description: bacterial SSU rRNA
Rfam family: Bacterial small subunit ribosomal RNA
Source: RNAcentral